CGACCGCGACCCCAGGUCAGACGGAC
RNAcentral lists this ribosomal RNA (26 nucleotides) under Plantago rigida. RNAcentral's name for it is "partial 26S ribosomal RNA". The record is from RNAcentral. Lineage: Eukaryota; Viridiplantae; Streptophyta; Magnoliopsida; Lamiales; Plantaginaceae.